UUUAAUUGAAUUUAGGAAUAUAGGGGGAUGUUUAAAGAAUUAUAAUAGUAGGGGGAAAUCCUAAUAAAGAAAUUUAUAUAAAAAUAAGAGAAAGGAAUUAUCCGAGUAUCAUAAUCCAUUUAAGAAAGUAUUGAGAAAGAAAUCUUAGAUAAAGUAAAUUAAACCAAUAUAAGAUAAAUCGUUUAAGAUCUUAUUUCUUGGAGAUUGAAAUAUGUCCCAGUAUUAACAAAGAAAAAGAGUUGGUAUAAACUUGAAUGUUUUAAUUAAAUUUAAAAUAGAAGGGGAACGUGGAAUUAUAAUUACUUUAAUUUGUGAAAUGAAAAAACUAAAACCUAUAUUUGUUUUCCCUAGUAAAGAUGGGUACCUGUAGGAUAAUGGGCCAACGAGUUGAAAGUAUGGUGAGUUGAAAAACAUAGGGAAACCAAAUCUGAAUAAGGUGUUAAUCAUACUUGUCCCGAAAGUAAGUGAUCUAUUCUUGGAUAGGACUCUCAAAUAGGAAAGAGAUAACUAGGAUUAAAUAUAAAAGGUUAAUCUUUAGAAGAAGGUCCGCACUCGUGAUUGUGCAAAACUCUGAGAAAAUCUAAGAAUAGCAGUGAAAUACUAAUCGGACUUACUUAUAACUGGUUUUCUGCGAAAUGGUUAAUUAGAUCAGCCUCUCAUAUAAUAAAGUUAAAUCUAUCAGAUAAUGUUGGGUAAUGUUGUCCUAUGAUUAAAUUAUGAGGGAGUUGGAGGUUAGGGGAAAGUCUCUAAGCCUCAAAAGGAUAACAAUCCAGAUUUACAGUUAAGGUUCCUAAAAGUAGUUAUUUAGGUUUAAAGGGGUUAUGAAGUUGUAAGUACACAUUGUAAUAGGUAUAGUGGAGUAUGAAAGUUUAUUAAUUAAUACUAAGAAAUGUGUAAAGACAUACCUCUGAAUUAAAUCUUUAAGAUGCUAAUAACAUUUUAUAGAUCCUUCUUUAACCCCUGCUAAAUUAAAGGAGAUAAACUACUUACCGAAACUUCUAAUCUUUCUAAUCUUAUUAAUUUGAGAUUUUAACUAUAAAUAGAAAGGUGGUAGCAGAACGUUCUAUAAUUUUACUUAAAUCCAAGUAUCACAUUAGUUAAAUUUAAUGGGUUAUCUGGAACAAGAGAAGAUAUAUUAGGGAGGCCUUUAUAUUUCUUUAAAAAAGAUAUUGUGUAAAAAAUUUAUAGAAGUGAUGAUGUUGGCAUGAGUAAGGGAAUGAAUUGCCCAGUGAUAUUUUCAUCAACAUAUAAAUUAAAUGUUGGGUCAAUAAUUUAUUUAUUAAAAUAUUUAUAUUGAUUUCCAUCCUUAACAUUGGGUUGAAGGUUUAAUAAAAAUAAUUAUUAAAGGAAUGAAAGAAAAAGAUAUUCGGUCUCUAACUGAAAAGGAAGAGUAAUAAGGUUUAUGAGAAAUCUGGAAAACUCUUAUUUGAACCGUACAUUAAAGGAUAAUACCUUGGGCUAAUGUAAUUUGUUUGAAAUCAAUCUAGUGAACUCGGCAACAGUUUGGACAACUGUUUACUAAAGACAUUUCCUCAAAGCUAGUGGUUUUCAUUUGUAAUUAAGAGGUGUCGCCUGCUCAAUGGAUGAAGGUAACUCUAUCUAAAUAGCAGCUUUUAUAUAGUUCGAAGGUAGCGAAAUUUCAUGUCUUUUAAUGAAAGACUAGCGAAGGGUUGAAUGAUCCAAACACUAUAAAGAUUGAUGCUCCCUGAAAUUGGAUUCAAAGUGAACAUACUUUGAUAUAAGAGAGAGGGACGAAAAGACCCUUGAAGCUUUAGAGAAUCAUAGCUUAAAAAUAAUAACUAAAUUACACUCCAUAGAUGAAUUCUAAUCCUUGAAAAAUACUUAUGGUGGGGAAACCUCUUAGAUGAAUUUCUAAUUAUGAUUUAGUUGUCAUAAAAUAGUUUACUAUCUCACCCUAUAUAUAAAUUUAUAGUAAUUAAUUUUAAAAUUAAAUAUUUACUAUAUUCAUAUGGAUAAAUCUAUGGAGAGAUGGAAUUAAAAUUAAUUCUAAAAUUAAAUUAAAUUAAAGUCUAACUCCAUUAUGUAAUGGUAUUUUCCUAGUUAAAAGUGAUUGAGAAGUAAUCUUUAAUUUCUACUAGGUGGAUUAAUAAUUCUCAAUUGAAAGUUAGAUUUAGAUUAAUUAUAAAUUAUUUCUAUAUUAACUUAAUAUUAGGUUUAACUCACUUAACUUAUUAUUUUGUCUAUUAAUAAGGAGGAGGUUAGUAAUUUUAAUUAUGAGGAAAUUAUCUUUAUUAAAUCAAUCAGAAGUAAAAGUAAACUUAAUAUUAAAAUUGAUAAAAUAUUUAAUUUUUUGAUAAUAGUUUAAAAUAAGCAUGAAUUCCUCUUUGGUCGGGGAAGUGACUUUGUCAUAAUUUAAAAGAACAAAAGAUCUAUCGAGAGAUAUGAUAAUCCUAGAGGGGAAAUCUUAUUUUAUUAAAUAUUAAUUUAUCUAUAUUGGGAAAGAUAUAAGAUACGCCCUAUCUUAGGAAAAGGUCUGAGAUGGAUUAAUCCAUUAUAUCUUCAAGAAUAGUAGGAACCCAUUGACCUAAUUAGACAUUUAAUAAUUAGAGAGGGAUAACUAUAUAUUUAGAUCUCAGUGAGUAUUAAAACUCAGUAUCUUUCACAUAUGGAUAAUAAAAUAUUUUAGUUAAUUCAUAAAUAUCUUCUUGGUUAGGGAGGGGUUUAAAUAACCCUAUAAUAAAUAUAGACUUUAGAGUAAGAUCUUAACCUAGGUCAGCUUCUAAUCGAGUGAUGACUAACCCCCAAGAAGAUAUUAUAAAUGGAGAAAACUAUAAUCAAAUAAACCUAAGACUAACUAGUUGAAGGGGGGUGUAAUCAACAUCUAAGAGAAUUAGGAAUGUGAACAUCAUUUGUCUCUUUAUAUUAAUCCUUUUAGAAAUAAUACCUUCUAGAAUGGAAAAAGGAAAGAAGUUACUCAAGGGAUAACAGGGCUUGUAUCUCCGAAAUUUUUAAUUGAAUCGGGAUAACGGCUACAUCGAUGUUGGCUUGACCAUUCCUAGAGAUGAUCUUUUAGGGUCUCUUUAAGGGAAGUAUUGUUCUCGACUGUAAAUUGGUCAGUGAGCUGAGUUUAGAACGGCGUAAGCUAGUUCGGUUGCUAUCUUCUCUCUAUUUAACCUAACAUUAACCUCCUUAAUACGAGAGGAAUUGGGGAUUAAAGUUAAAGGUGAAAAGCCUAACUUUUUCUUGGUAAUUCUAUAUAUUAAGAAAUUAGAUAGAACCAAGGUGUUAGAGUUUAUUAAUAAUAAUAAAUUUUAUAAAAUUAUUUAAUGCUAAAUAGAAAUAAAUUAAAUUUAUGUAGUUUUCAGAAUUAUCAGUAUGAGGGGGGUUUUAAUAUCAUCAAGAAGGAGUAUGAUGAGAAGAAAUCCUCUAAAGAAAUUAUAAUCCUAUUGUUACUUUCCAUUGAAGGGUUUUUGUUAAUUUUAUUUUUUGUAAACCCUAUAGGUAAAGGUCUAUUAAUAUAUUUAUCUAUAAUUAGUUUAUUUCUAUUUCUUAUAUCAAUAUCAUAUUUUUAUAA
Molecule: non-coding RNA, 3535 nt
Organism: Myxobolus squamalis
Lineage: Eukaryota; Metazoa; Cnidaria; Myxozoa; Bivalvulida; Myxobolidae
Source: the annotation of a GenBank genome assembly